This 93-nucleotide ribosomal RNA is filed under the name uncultured Pseudomonas sp. RNAcentral's name for it is "partial 16S ribosomal RNA". The stretch from base 1 to 77 matches the Rfam family "Bacterial small subunit ribosomal RNA", at positions 1457 to 1533 of the family's 1533-position model. Lineage: Bacteria; Pseudomonadati; Pseudomonadota; Gammaproteobacteria; Pseudomonadales; Pseudomonadaceae. The record is from RNAcentral.
CCACGGAGUGAUUCAUGACUGGGGUGAAGUCGUAACAAGGUAGCCGUAGGGGAACCUGCGGCUGGAUCACCUCCUUAAGCUUGGAUCCCGGGA